GAUCCAGUAGCUCAGCGGCAGAGCGCCAGCGCGACGAGCUGGAGGUCGCGGGGUCGGUUCCCGCCUGGAUCA
This 72-nucleotide transfer RNA is filed under the name Sandaracinaceae bacterium. RNAcentral's name for it is "tRNA-Val". It matches the Rfam family "tRNA". From Rfam's summary of the family: Transfer RNA (tRNA) molecules are approximately 80 nucleotides in length. Their secondary structure includes four short double-helical elements and three loops (D, anti-codon, and T loops). The record is from RNAcentral. Lineage: Bacteria; Pseudomonadati; Myxococcota; Polyangiales; Sandaracinaceae.